UACGGAGGAUCCGAGCGUUAUCCGGAUUUAUUGGGUUUAAAGGGUGCGUAGGCGGCCUGUUAAGUCAGGGGUGAAAGACGGUAGCUCAACUAUCGCAGUGCCCUUGAUACUGAUGGGCUUGAAUGUACUAGAGGUAGGCGGAAUGUGACAAGUAGCGGUGAAAUGCAUAGAUAUGUCACAGAACACCAAUUGCGAAGGCAGCUUACUAUGGUAUUAUUGACGCUGAGGCACGAAAGCGUGGGGAUUCAACAGG
RNAcentral lists this ribosomal RNA (253 nucleotides) under uncultured bacterium. RNAcentral's name for it is "partial 16S ribosomal RNA". It matches the Rfam family "Bacterial small subunit ribosomal RNA", at positions 524 to 776 of the family's 1533-position model. The record is from RNAcentral.